GACGAACGCUGGCGGCGUGCCUAAUGCAUGCAAGUUGAGCGCUGAAGGUUGGUACUUGUACCGACUGGAUGAGCAGCGAACGGGUGAGUAACGCGUGGGGAAUCUGCCUUUGAGCGGGGGACAACAUUUGGAAACGAAUGCUAAUACCGCAUAAAAACUUUAAACACAAGUUUUAAGUUUGAAAGAUGCAAUUGCAUCACUCAAAGAUGAUCCCGCGUUGUAUUAGCUAGUUGGUGAGGUAAAGGCUCACCAAGGCGAUGAUACAUAGCCGACCUGAGAGGGUGAUCGGCCACAUUGGGACUGAGACACGGCCCAAACUCCUACGGGAGGCAGCAGUAGGGAAUCUUCGGCAAUAGACGAAAGUCUGACCGAGCAACGCCGCGUGAGUGAAGAAGGUUUUCGGAUCGUAAAACUCUGUUGGUAGAGAAGAACGUUGGUGAGAGUGGAAAGCUCAUCAAGUGACGGUAACUACCCAGAAAGGGACGGCUAACUACGUG
Molecule: ribosomal RNA, 497 nt
Filed under: uncultured bacterium
Lineage: Bacteria
Description: partial 16S ribosomal RNA
Rfam family: Bacterial small subunit ribosomal RNA
Source: RNAcentral